UCCCUGGUGGUCCAGAGGCUAAGACUCCCAAAGCAGAAGCCCAGGUUCAACCCCUGGUCAGGGAA
This 65-nucleotide transfer RNA is filed under the name Bos taurus (domestic cattle). It matches the Rfam family "tRNA". Rfam says of the family: Transfer RNA (tRNA) molecules are approximately 80 nucleotides in length. The record is from Rfam by way of RNAcentral. RNAcentral also lists the same sequence under 2 other names. Lineage: Eukaryota; Metazoa; Chordata; Mammalia; Artiodactyla; Bovidae.